RNAcentral lists this ribosomal RNA (497 nucleotides) under uncultured bacterium. RNAcentral's name for it is "partial 16S ribosomal RNA". It matches the Rfam family "Bacterial small subunit ribosomal RNA", at positions 28 to 507 of the family's 1533-position model. The record is from RNAcentral.
GAUGAACGCUGGCGGCGUGCCUAAUACAUGCAAGUCGAGCGAAAAGACGAGGAGCUUGCUCUUCUGACGUUAGCGGCGGACGGGUGAGUAACACGUGGAUAACCUACUUAUAAGACUGGGAUAAUUUCGGGAAACCGGAGCUAAUACUGGAUAAUAUAUUGAACCGCAUGGUUCAAUAGUGAAAGACGGCUUUGCUGUCUCUUAUAGAUGGAUCCGCGCCGCAUUAGCUAGUUGGUAAGGUAACGGCUUACCAAGGCUACGAUGCGUAGCCGACCUGAGAGGGUGAUCGGCCACACUGGAACUGAGACACGGUCCAGACUCCUACGGGAGGCAGCAGUAGGGAAUCUUCCGCAAUGGGCGAAAGCCUGACGGAGCAACGCCGCGUGAGUGAUGAAGGUCUUCGGAUCGUAAAACUCUGUUAUUGGGGAAGAACAAAUGUGUAAGUAACUAUGCACGUCUUGACGGUACCUAAUCAGAAAGCCACGGCUAACUACGUG